AUGUCAUAUCAAGGUUAUCCUUGUUAGAGGAAUUGUACAUGCAAUCUAGUUUUUGUCAAUGGGAGCUUGAAGGUCUCAGCAAUUCAAGCAACGCAAGCCUUGCUGAGUUGAAAUACCUGUCUCACUUGACAACAUUGGAAAUAGAUAUUCCAGAUGCCAAGAUGUUACCGAAAGACUUGUUCUCCAAUAAGUUGGAAAGGUAUAGGAUUGUCAUCGGAAAAGAGUGGUAUUGGGGUG
Molecule: unclassified non-coding RNA, 237 nt
Filed under: Hevea brasiliensis (rubber tree)
Lineage: Eukaryota; Viridiplantae; Streptophyta; Magnoliopsida; Malpighiales; Euphorbiaceae
Source: RNAcentral